RNAcentral lists this ribosomal RNA (249 nucleotides) under uncultured bacterium. RNAcentral's name for it is "partial 16S ribosomal RNA". It matches the Rfam family "Bacterial small subunit ribosomal RNA", at positions 1252 to 1500 of the family's 1533-position model. The record is from RNAcentral.
AGCCGGUGACGGUGCGCGAAUCCCAAAAAUAACGUCUCAGUUCGGAUUGUAGUCUGCAACUCGACUACAUGAAGCUGGAAUCGCUAGUAAUCGCGGAUCAGAAUGCCGCGGUGAAUACGUUCCCGGGUCUUGUACACACCGCCCGUCACACCAUGGGAGUCGGAAAUGCCCGAAGUCUGUGACCGAACCGAAAGGAAGGAGCAGCCGAAGGCAGGUCGGAUGACUGGGGUGAAGUCGUAACAAGGUAAC